RNAcentral lists this transfer RNA (74 nucleotides) under Parvimonas micra. Its description in RNAcentral is "tRNA-Ile". It matches the Rfam family "tRNA". From Rfam's summary of the family: Transfer RNA (tRNA) molecules are approximately 80 nucleotides in length. Their secondary structure includes four short double-helical elements and three loops (D, anti-codon, and T loops). Further hydrogen bonds mediate the characteristic L-shaped molecular structure. tRNAs have two regions of fundamental functional importance: the anti-codon, which is responsible for specific mRNA codon recognition, and the 3' end, to which the tRNAs corresponding amino acid is attached (by aminoacyl-tRNA synthetases). tRNAs cope with the degeneracy of the genetic code in two manners: having more than one tRNA (with a specific anti-codon) for a particular amino acid; and 'wobble' base-pairing, i.e. permitting non-standard base-pairing at the 3rd anti-codon position. The record is from RNAcentral. Lineage: Bacteria; Bacillati; Bacillota; Tissierellia; Tissierellales; Peptoniphilaceae.
GGACCUUUAGCUCAAAUGGUCAGAGCUCUCGGCUCAUAACCGAGUGGUUGCAGGUUCGAACCCUGUGAGGUCCA